AUGCUGACGACGUUCCAGGGCUUCCGGGCUUGCCUCCAUUGGCUUGGAGCUCCAGGGCGAUGUGGCGGAGCCGAUGGAUACGUCGGGGAGGCGAGGAGGUGGCUCGGGACGCGGCAGCGGCGAGCGACAGCGACGGUGCCGCUCGGGUGUGCGAGAGGGAGAGGCGAGAGGACGAACAGGGGGGACGUGAAGGCUCGGGGUCCGCGUGGCGCACCUAGCGACGUCCAGCAGCAAGCGGCAAGCAUGAGGUGGCUGGCGCGUGCACGCGCGCGUCGGGCACACGCCCUCCUGCCUACUGGCAGGAGGUUGAAGACGGUGGCGGCUGCGGUGGGCUGGGCCGCACAGUGCUGGACCAGCACAGGAGCUGGGCCGGCUCUAGUGGGCUGCACGGGUAAGCACUUCUCUCUCUCUCUCUCUCUCUCUCUCUCUCUCUCUUGUUUCUGUUUUCUAUUUUGUUUCUCUGUUUUGGUUUAG
This 474-nucleotide ribosomal RNA is filed under the name Triticum aestivum (bread wheat). RNAcentral's name for it is "partial small subunit ribosomal RNA". Lineage: Eukaryota; Viridiplantae; Streptophyta; Magnoliopsida; Poales; Poaceae. The record is from RNAcentral.